Molecule: ribosomal RNA, 403 nt
Filed under: Fusobacteriota bacterium
Lineage: Bacteria; Fusobacteriati; Fusobacteriota
Description: Fusobacteria bacterium partial 16S ribosomal RNA
Rfam family: Bacterial small subunit ribosomal RNA
Source: RNAcentral
UGGGGAAUCUUGCACAAUGGGGGAAACCCUGAUGCAGCGACGCCGCGUGAGCGAUGAAGGUUUUCGAAUCGUAAAGCUCUGUCCUAUGGGAAGAUAAUGACGGUACCAUGGGAGGAAGCCCCGGCUAACUACGUGCCAGCAGCCGCGGUAAUACGUAGGGGGCGAGCGUUGUCCGGAAUUACUGGGCGUAAAGGGUUCGCAGGCGGCAUGGCAAGUCCGAUGUAAAAGGCGAAGGCUCAACCUUCGUAAGCAUCGGAAACUGUCAAGCUUGAGUGUAGGAGAGGCAAGUGGAAUUCCUAGUGUAGCGGUGGAAUGCGUAGAUAUUAGGAGGAAUACCGGUGGCGAAGGCGACUUGCUGGACUUCAACUGACGCUGAGGAACGAAAGCGUGGGUAGCAAACAGG